AUUGAACGCUGGCGGCAUGCUUUACACAUGCAAGUCGAACGGUAACAGGUUAAGCUGACGAGUGGCGAACGGGUGAGUAAUGCAUCGGAACGUGCCCGGUCGUGGGGGAUAACGCAGCGAAAGCUGCGCUAAUACCGCAUACGAUCUAAGGAUGAAAGCGGGGGACCGUAAGGCCUCGCGCGAUCGGCGCGGCCGAUGUCAGAUUAGGUAGUUGGGGGGGUAAAGGCUCACCAAGCCAACGAUCUGUAGCUGGUCUGAGAGGACGACCAGCCACACUGGGACUGAGACACGGCCCAGACUCCUACGGGAGGCAGCAGUGGGGAAUUUUGGACAAUGGGCGAAAGCCUGAUCCAGCAAUGCCGCGUGCAGGAAGAAGGCCUUCGGGUUGUAAACUGCUUUUGUACGGAGCGAAAAGGUCUCCUCUAAUACAGGGGGCUCAUGACGGUACCGUAAGAAUAAGCACCGGCUAACUACGUGCCAGCCGCCGCCGUAA
This 493-nucleotide ribosomal RNA is filed under the name uncultured bacterium. RNAcentral describes it as "partial 16S ribosomal RNA". It matches the Rfam family "Bacterial small subunit ribosomal RNA", at positions 29 to 523 of the family's 1533-position model. The record is from RNAcentral.